Molecule: ribosomal RNA, 468 nt
Filed under: uncultured bacterium
Lineage: Bacteria
Description: partial 16S ribosomal RNA
Rfam family: Bacterial small subunit ribosomal RNA
Source: RNAcentral
GACGAACGCUGGCGGCGUGCUUAACACAUGCCAGUCGAACGGAAAGGCCCUGCUCUUGUGUGGUGCUCGAGUGGCGAACGGGUGUGUAACACGUGUGUAACCUCCCCUUGACUUUGGGAUAACUUCUGGUAACUGGGGCUAAUACCGGAUAGGAGCUCCUGCUGCAUGGUGGGGGUUGGAAAGUUUCGGCGGUUGGGGAUGGACUCGCGGCUUAUCAGCUUGUUGGUGUGGUAGGUGCUUACCAAGGCUUUGACGGGUAGCCGGCCUGAGAGGGUGACCGGCGACCAGGCGCAUGAGGUAGGGCCCAGACUCCAACGUUAGGCAGCAGUGGGCAAUAUUACACAGUACGCGGAAGCCUGUGGCGAAGACGCCGCGUGCGAGAUGACGUCCUUCGAGUUGUAAACCGCUUUCGACUAUAACGAAGCGUGAGUGACGGUAAUGGGUAAAAAAGCACCGGCUAACUACGUG